AACGAACGCUGGCGGCAGGCUUAACACAUGCAAGUCGAACGCUCGUAGCAAUACGGGAGUGGCGGACGGGGUGAGUAACGCGUGGGAACGUGCCCUGAGGUACGGAAUAACUGAGGGAAACUUCAGCUAAUACCGUAUGAGCCCCGAGAGGGGAAAGAUUUAUCGCCUUGGGAGCGGCCCGCGUCGGAUUAGCUAGUUGGUGGGGUAACGGCCUACCAAGGCUUCGAUCCGUAGCUGGUCUGAGAGGACGAUCAGCCACACUGGGACUGAGACACGGCCCAGACUCCUACGGGAGGCAGCAGUGGGGAAUCUUGCGCAAUGGGGGCAACCCUGACGCAGCCAUGCCGCGUGAACGAUGAAGGCCUUAGGGUUGUAAAGUUCUUUUACCCGUGACGAUGAUGACGGUAACGGGGAAUAAGCUCCGGCUAACUUCGUGCCAGCAGCCGCGGU
This 450-nucleotide ribosomal RNA is filed under the name uncultured bacterium. Its description in RNAcentral is "bacterial SSU rRNA". It matches the Rfam family "Bacterial small subunit ribosomal RNA", at positions 29 to 521 of the family's 1533-position model. The record is from RNAcentral.